AUGUGUUCCCCGCUGGGGACGCCUGCUCAGAUAUGCAUCCUCACGGAACUGCUGAGCACAGGAGCUACACAAAACAAUGUUAAUUUUGUGAAUUUUAAGUGGUUUUGUGGAAGCGGCGGCCCGGCGGAGAGACAGCGGAGCUAUACGUUUUUCCGAGGCAGCUUCCCAGACGAGCCCGUUUGGAGCGUAAAUGUCAAAUCCUUUACAUUCUUUGAACUGCAGUCAAAGAGGGAAAGAAAGACCACAUUGGAUCCUCGGAGCCAAUCCGAGAGACACCGGCGGGUGAGGAUUAGCAUCAUAAUAGAUGGGAGCAAAAGUGGAACUUCUCGUCCUCCUGCACCUUUUUCCUGUCGCCCAUUCUUCCUCUUGUUAAUCUGCAUUUCAGACACGUGCACUGAAUUACCCUGAUAUGAAAGCUUAAAAGCGAAGCCUGACCCUGACAAAUGAGGCAAAGCUGCCCCCCCCCGCCCUUCCUCCAGUUUAUUUUGAUCACACACUGAUCCGGCCGGCACAGAUUUUGAUCCCUAAGCUUUUUUCGGACCGAUUCCUAUUUUAUUUUAUUUUUUUCUUGCUCGCCUGGGCCAGUGGUGCAAUGGAUAACACUAUGGAUCAGAAGAUUCUAGGUUCGGCUCCUGGCUGGCUAGCACUUUCGUGAAUUUCCCCGAUGUGGGAUCAAUAAAGUUUUAUCUUAUCUUACGUAAAGGUGAAUUUGUUCCCGUUUUGUGGCGAAGAGCGCACCGCUGCUGCAUUACCAUGUGGAUUUCCUGAGCCAGGGCCUUCGCAGUCCUGGAAUAAGAGCCGCCACAUGUUGUGGGGGUAGAGCUAGCGGGGGGAGGGGUGGGGGUGGGGGGGCUGUACCGCAAACCAGUUGGCAGGGCUGGACAAGAUGGGGGAAUCCCCCGCCGGUCGUGCCAGGGAGAGAACUUUGACGAGAAUCCACGUGACAGCGUUGACCGUCCCUGGGCUGAAAGGGAAUCCCUUCCUGUUUCCCCGGUGUUGUCAGCACGUUGCCACGGCGACCUGGUGUUUACCGCGCUGACUGCUUGGCCGCUGCACAGCAACAGACGCGUGACGCGCUCGUACGGUAAUGCCUAUUUAUAACCGCUAAAUGCAAGUCUGCUCGGAGGCCGGGUGGGAAGCCCAGCGACGGGCCGUGAUUAGCCGAGCAGCGGAACAACAGAAGUCCGAAUCGAGACAGAAACCCAUGCUUAAGUAACGUGGAAACAACAUCUGCAUGGCAACGGUAUCAUAACAGAGCUGAGGGGCGACCUUGUGACCUCACCCCGGCUGUCCUCUGCUUGUAGCGUAGCGUUAGCGAUCCGCUGAGGCUGCUCUUGCCCCCCCAACUCUCCGCCACUGCUGAUUCUUAUGAUUUGUGAACGUUAAGCAGGAUCCAUUUUGGGGAACAUAAAUGAAUCUCCUAAAAAAAGGAGGGAGGUAUUAUGCAUUCCUGCCUGUGAAAUAAUGAGCGAGAUUCCUGGUGGCGCUGGCAGGAGCGCCGGAUGCUAAAGCUCUGUAGAGCUCAAUUAGGACUCAUCUCUAUCAUUAACUCAACCUAUAAAGUAUUAAUGGUCUCGGGCCAUAUUUCAUGAUAAGACUCCCCAUAUUUGAAAAAUAUUCAUUAGGGCCUAAAUUAGGGAGCUCUCGUAGAUCAAGUUUUUUUUUUUUUUUUAAUUCUCCAAAAUAAAGAUUUAAUGAAGCGCGGCUCUUCGCUCUCUCCCAGCUCGUCUGUCUCCCAACAGCGUCUCUGUGUGUGUUUGGUGUGUUAUAGAGUCUCAUUUAUUAACGCGUGAUAAGAAACAGUUUCGCACUUUCAUCCUCUCCGCUCAGCCCGUCUUCUGCAGCGAUGCGCCGCCGCUCCGUCGGCCUCGUCGGCUCCACUCCUGCGCCGCCGCCGUAUCAUUUCCCCCGGAACACACCGCGACUCCACACUCGACAAAGCAGCCGUCACCUCUGGUUUUUAGCCACAAAUCUGGCUACGGCCUAAUUGACACACCCUGCUUCUCCCUCUUUUGCCCCCCACCCACACCAACAGAAAGGGCCCCUGAAUUUCAAACAGCUCCAUGAAUGAAAAUGAAAGCCAUGUAAAAAUUAAUAUUACAUUUCCACGACUUCCUGUGCUGUUUAAAAAGUAAUGAGACUGAAUAAAAAAGCACUCAACUUAAUAGCCC
Takifugu rubripes (torafugu) is the source of this 2171-nucleotide long non-coding RNA. The record is from Ensembl. Lineage: Eukaryota; Metazoa; Chordata; Actinopteri; Tetraodontiformes; Tetraodontidae.